CCGGCGACGUUCGCGAGAAGUCCACUGAAACCUUAUCAUUUAGAGGAAGGAGAAGUCGUAACAAGGUUUCCGUAGGUGAACCUGCGGAAGGAUCAUUGCCGAU
RNAcentral lists this ribosomal RNA (103 nucleotides) under Saraca indica. RNAcentral's name for it is "partial 18S ribosomal RNA". It matches the Rfam family "Eukaryotic small subunit ribosomal RNA", at positions 1734 to 1831 of the family's 1831-position model. The record is from RNAcentral. Lineage: Eukaryota; Viridiplantae; Streptophyta; Magnoliopsida; Fabales; Fabaceae.